RNAcentral lists this ribosomal RNA (519 nucleotides) under uncultured bacterium. Its description in RNAcentral is "bacterial SSU rRNA". It matches the Rfam family "Bacterial small subunit ribosomal RNA", at positions 791 to 1310 of the family's 1533-position model. The record is from RNAcentral.
UAGUCCACGCCGUAAACGAUGGAUACUAGUUGUCGGGGGCCUUGCCCCUUCGGUGACGAAGCUAACGCAUUAAGUAUCCCGCCUGGGGACUACGACCGCAAGGUUAAAACUCAAAGAAAUUGACGGGGGCCCGCACAAGCGGUGGAGGAUGUCGUUUAAUUCGAUGCAACGCGGAAAACCUUACCUGGACUUGACAUCCUGUGCUACCUAGGGAAACUUAGGGUUCUCUUCGGAGACACAGUGACAGGUGUUGCAUGGUUGUCGUCAGCUCGUGUCGUGAGAUGUUGGGUUAAGUCCCGCAACGAGCGCAACCCCUAUGAACUGUUGCCAGCACAUAAUGGUGGGGACUCUGUUCAGACUGCCCAGAUUAACUGGGAGGAAGGUGGGGAUGACGUCAAGUCAGUAUGGCCCUUACGCCCAGGGCUGCACACGUGCUACAAUGUCCAGUACAAUGUGAACCGAUACCGCGAGGUGGAGGAAAUCUCUAAAACUGGGCUCAGUUCGGAUUGUAGUCUGCAA